GAAAUGCGAUAAGUAAUGUGAAUUGCAGAAUUCAGUGAAUCAUCGAAUCUUUGAACGCACCUUGCGCUCCUUGGUAUUUCUUGGAGCAUGCCUGUUUGAGUAUCAUGAAAUCAUCAAAGUAAAUCUUUUGUUAACUCAAUUGGUUUCUACUUUGGUAUUGGAGGUCUUUGCAGCUUCACACCUGCUCCUCUUUGUUCAUUAGCUGGAUCUCAGUGUUAUGCUUGGUUCCACUCGGCGUGAUAAGUUAUCUAUCGCUGAGGACACUGUAAAAGGUGGCCAAGGUAAAUGCAGAUGAACCGCUUCUAAUAGUCCAUUGACUUGGACAAUACUUUUAUGAUCUGAUCUCAAAUCAGGUAGGACUACCCGCUGAACUUAAGC
RNAcentral lists this unclassified non-coding RNA (378 nucleotides) under plant metagenome. RNAcentral's name for it is "partial contains 5.8S ribosomal RNA, internal transcribed spacer 2, and large subunit ribosomal RNA". The stretch from base 1 to 105 matches the Rfam family "5.8S ribosomal RNA", at positions 50 to 154 of the family's 154-position model. The record is from RNAcentral.